AACGUAGGAGACAAACGUUAUCCGGAGUUACUGGGCGUAAAGGGCGUGUAGGUGGUUUCGUAAGUCUGGCGUGAAAUUUCUCGGCUUAACCGAGGCAGGUCGUCGGAUACUGCGGAACUUGAGGACGGUAGAGGCGUGUGGAAUUCCGGGUGUAGUGGUGAAAUGCGUAGAGAUCCGGAGGAACACCAGUGGCGAAGGCAGCUCGCUGGGACGGUACUGACGCUGAGGCGCGAAAGCGUGGGGAGCGAACAGG
RNAcentral lists this ribosomal RNA (253 nucleotides) under uncultured bacterium. RNAcentral's name for it is "partial 16S ribosomal RNA". It matches the Rfam family "Bacterial small subunit ribosomal RNA", at positions 524 to 776 of the family's 1533-position model. The record is from RNAcentral.